This 229-nucleotide ribosomal RNA is filed under the name uncultured bacterium. RNAcentral's name for it is "partial 16S ribosomal RNA". It matches the Rfam family "Bacterial small subunit ribosomal RNA", at positions 125 to 354 of the family's 1533-position model. The record is from RNAcentral.
CCUGCCUUGGAGUGGGAAUAACAGCUGGAAACAGCUGCUAAUACCGCAUGAUAUGUCUGUAUCACAUGGUACUGGACAUCAAAGAUCUAUCGCUCUGAGAUGGGCUCGCGUCUGAUUAGCUAGUUGGUGGGGCAACGGCCCACCAAGGCGACGAUCAGUAGCCGGACUGAGAGGUUGGCCGGCCACAUUGGGACUGAGACACGGCCCAGACUCCUACGGAAGGCAGCAG